Molecule: long non-coding RNA, 778 nt
Organism: Symphalangus syndactylus (siamang)
Lineage: Eukaryota; Metazoa; Chordata; Mammalia; Primates; Hylobatidae
Source: RefSeq, a predicted model, not a curated record
GGCACAGAGACUGGCUGCCUCUCCGGGGGCGUCGCGGGAGGGUGCGGUCCGCGCUGGGCGAGGCUUCCUGCGGGCACCGGCGUGCUCGGCCUCCGCUCCUGGGCGCUGCAGUUCUCCCUCUCCUUGCCAGCCCAGAGAUAAAUAGACGGCCAGAAAGAAAAGAAAAAGAGAAAACAUCUCUAGAGGUUUCUGAUAGCUAAUCAACACCUCAGCAUUACAAUUCUGUUUUCCAUAAACUUCUGUGCAGAAAUCUGGGGAAUCCAAAAGAACUGGGGAGUGCUGAUCUCCCUGGAGUCUGAAGCCUGGAGAAACCAUCCGGAAGGCUGAAGCUAUUCAUCUCGAAGGAGCAGAUGUUGUCCCUCCCCAAGGAGUUAUUACGGGUUGGAAGAAAUGAGAAAAUGAAUAUAAACAAGUCAUUUUGUGAAUGUUAUCAAAUAUGAUCAGCACCAACCAAACAGAGCUCUAAAUGAGAAAAAGCAAAUGGACUCAAUGUGGUUGAAAUGUGGAGGGGAUUUUGAGAGAUGAAGCUUGAAAUACAGUUGACCCUGGAACAAGAAUUUUUGUUAAUCCUGUGAGGAUGGCUUCAGGAUAAAGAAUUUUGGAGGCCAAGAACUUCAAAGGGAGAAAACCUUAAAAAAAAAUUGCAAGAUCCUAAGGAAAACAGAGAAGAGAGAUGACCAGAGAGGGAAAGAGAAGAGCUGCCUGUUUCUGAACUCAAAGAAUUGUUGAAGGACAACUGAAAUUUAGUUGUGAUUUUGAUUAAUAAUGUAUUUUUUAA